AUGAGUACUUAUUGUAUGCUUGUUUGUUUGUCUGCGAUAGAAUACCCGGAGUGCGCCGCCUGUUACUUCGAAUCGUUAGGAUCAUCAGCAAGGAUGGCGGAUGCAAGGAACAAGUUCACGCAACCGGAUGAAGAUACACCCUUUGGACGCCACUUGAAGGAAGUCACUAGAUACCUGAAUAUAGGAGUACCAAGCUUCACGGGAACCUACAACGCCACUUUACCUGAAGAAGAGCGCUGGAUGAUUCAAGUUCAAGUACCAGGAAGGAUGUUCAUGCCAGUCACUGAGCCCAUAGAGUUUUCUUUUGAUGCACCAACUUGGAGUCUAGGAAAGAGCAUGGCAGCUCACAUCGCCAUGGGACGCAUUGGAGAAGUCUACCACAAGGAUCUCAAGGAUACUAUCUACCAGAUUUGUGGGCGCCGAGAUGAACACUGGGAGAUGAUCAGCACCAGGAAGGAUAGAUCAAUCGCAGCUUUUAUCCAGGAGUUAAACCAGCACAUUCGACGACAGGAGAACCAGAUGUGCGUCGACAUGUUAGAUCUGAAGAAGGCUAAGACUAGAAUCAAAGAAUUGGAGGAAGAACUCAAGGCUACACGUGAAGAUUAUGAAGAGGAAAUUGAAAUACUGGUGGAGAAGAAUGACGACCUGAUCAAGAAGAUUGGAAUAUUUAUGGGAGACUCUACGCCAGUAGAUGAAGACGAAGAACCCCAGGAAAUUAGCCCGGAAGACUACAUCAUCAUCGACGGCACCGACUCGGAAGCAGAUAGUAGCGAUGAUGACGAUGUUGAUGAAGCUGGAGCAGAUAUCAUGGAGUCAACGGCCGUAGAAUAUUUCUAG
This 837-nucleotide ribosomal RNA is filed under the name Triticum aestivum (bread wheat). RNAcentral describes it as "partial small subunit ribosomal RNA". Lineage: Eukaryota; Viridiplantae; Streptophyta; Magnoliopsida; Poales; Poaceae. The record is from RNAcentral.